RNAcentral lists this ribosomal RNA (2923 nucleotides) under Acinetobacter baumannii. Its description in RNAcentral is "23S ribosomal RNA". It matches the Rfam family "Bacterial large subunit ribosomal RNA". The record is from RNAcentral. Lineage: Bacteria; Pseudomonadati; Pseudomonadota; Gammaproteobacteria; Moraxellales; Moraxellaceae.
GUUGUAUAGUCAAGUAAUUAAGUGCAUGUGGUGGAUGCCUUGGCAGUCAGAGGCGAUGGAAAGACGUGAUAGCCUGCGAAAAGCUCCGGGGAGGCGGCAAAUAUCCUUUGAUCCGGAGAUGUCUGAAUGGGGAACCCACCUACUUUAAGGUAGGUAUUGCAACAUGAAUACAUAGUGUUGCAAGGCGAACGAGGGGAAGUGAAACAUCUCAGUACCCUUAGGAAAAGAAAUCAAUUGAGAUUCCCUCAGUAGCGGCGAGCGAACGGGGAUCAGCCCAUUAAGUUAUGUGUGUUUUAGUGGAACGCUCUGGGAAGUGCGAACGUAGAGGGUGAUAUUCCCGUACACGAAAGGGCACACAUAAUGAUGACGAGUAGGGCGAGGCACGUGAAACCUUGUCUGAAUAUGGGGGGACCAUCCUCCAAGGCUAAAUACUCCUGACUGACCGAUAGUGAACCAGUACCGUGAGGGAAAGGCGAAAAGAACCCCUGUGAGGGGAGUGAAAUAGAUCCUGAAACCGCAUGCAUACAAGCAGUGGGAGCACCUUCGUGGUGUGACUGCGACUUUUACCUUUGUAUAAUGGGUCAGCGACUUAUAUUCAGUAGCGAGGUUAACCGUAUAGGGGAGCCGUAGAGAAAUCGAGUCUUAAUAGGGCGUUUAGUUGCUGGGUAUAGACCCGAAACCAGGCGAUCUAUCCAUGAGCAGGUUGAAGGUUGGGUAACACUAACUGGAGGACCGAACCCACUGUCGUUGAAAAGCCAGGGGAUGACUUGUGGAUAGGGGUGAAAGGCUAAUCAAGCCUGGUGAUAGCUGGUUCUCCCCGAAAGCUAUUUAGGUAGCGCCUCGGACGAAUACCAUAGGGGUAGAGCACUGUUUCGGCUAGGGGGUCAUCCCGACUUACCAAACCGAUGCAAACUCCGAAUACCUAUGAGUACUAUCCGGGAGACAGACUGCGGGUGCUAACGUCCGUAGUCAAGAGGAAAACAAUCCAGACCGCCAGCUAAGGCCCCAAAAUCAUAGUUAAGUGGGAAACGAUGUGGGAAGGCAUAGACAGCUAGGAGGUUGGCUUAGAAGCAGCCACCCUUUAAAGAAAGCGUAAUAGCUCACUAGUCGAGUCGGCCUGCGCGGAAGAUGUAACGGGGCUAAAACUAUGUGCCGAAGCUGCGGAUGUAUACUUUGUAUACGUGGUAGGGGAGCGUUCUGUAAGCCGAUGAAGGUGUGUUGAGAAGCAUGCUGGAGGUAUCAGAAGUGCGAAUGCUGACGUGAGUAACGACAAAACGGGUGAAAAACCCGUUCGCCGAAAGACCAAGGGUUCCAGUCCAACGUUAAUCGGGGCUGGGUGAGUCGACCCCUAAGGCGAGGCCGAAAGGCGUAGUCGAUGGGAAAAUGGUUAAUAUUCCAUUACUUCUGUGUAAUGCGAUGAGAGGACGGAGAAGGCUAAAUCAGCCUGGCGUUGGUUGUCCAGGUGAAAGGAUGUAGGCAUGUAUCUUAGGCAAAUCCGGGGUACUCUAUGCUGAGAUCUGAUAGCAAGCUGUACUUGUACAGCGAAGUGGUUGAUGCCAUGCUUCCAGGAAAAGUCUCUAAGCUUCAGUUACACAGGAAUCGUACCCGAAACCGACACAGGUGGUCAGGUCGAGUAGACCAAGGCGCUUGAGAGAACUCUGCUGAAGGAACUAGGCAAAAUGGUACCGUAACUUCGGGAGAAGGUACGCUGUUGUUGGUGAUGGAACUCGCUUCCUGAGCUGACGACAGCCGCAGAAACCAGGCCGCUGCAACUGUUUAUUAAAAACAUAGCACUCUGCAAACACGAAAGUGGACGUAUAGGGUGUGAUGCCUGCCCGGUGCUGGAAGGUUAAUUGAUGGGGUUAGCGUAAGCGAAGCUCUUGAUCGAAGCCCCAGUAAACGGCGGCCGUAACUAUAACGGUCCUAAGGUAGCGAAAUUCCUUGUCGGGUAAGUUCCGACCUGCACGAAUGGCAUAAUGAUGGCGGCGCUGUCUCCAGCAGAGGCUCAGUGAAAUCGAAAUCGCUGUGAAGAUGCAGUGUACCCGCGGCUAGACGGAAAGACCCCGUGAACCUUUACUGCAGCUUGACACUGAACUUUGACCUUACUUGUGUAGGAUAGGUGGGAGGCUUUGAAGCUGGAACGCUAGUUCCAGUGGAGCCGUCCUUGAAAUACCACCCUGGUAAUGUUGAGGUUCUAACUCUGUCCCGUGAUCCGGGACGAGGACCGUGUCUGGUGGGUAGUUUGACUGGGGCGGUCUCCUCCUAAAGAGUAACGGAGGAGUACGAAGGUGCGCUCAGCGUGGUCGGAAAUCACGCGUAGAGUAUAAAGGCAAAAGCGCGCUUAACUGCGAGACCCACAAGUCGAGCAGGUACGAAAGUAGGUCUUAGUGAUCCGGUGGUUCUGUAUGGAAGGGCCAUCGCUCAACGGAUAAAAGGUACUCUGGGGAUAACAGGCUGAUACCGCCCAAGAGUUCAUAUCGACGGCGGUGUUUGGCACCUCGAUGUCGGCUCAUCUCAUCCUGGGGCUGAAGCAGGUCCCAAGGGUAUGGCUGUUCGCCAUUUAAAGAGGGUACGCGAGCUGGGUUUAGAACGUCGUGAGACAGUUCGGUCCCUAUCUACCGUGGGCGCUGGAAAUUUGAGAGGAUCUGCUCCUAGUACGAGAGGACCAGAGUGGACGAACCUCUGGUGUACCGGUUGUGACGCCAGUCGCAUCGCCGGGUAGCUAUGUUCGGAAGGGAUAACCGCUGAAAGCAUCUAAGCGGGAAGCCUACCUCAAGAUAAGAUUUCCCUAGGACUUUAUGUCCUCUAAAAGAGCCGUUCGAGACUAGGACGUUGAUAGGUUGGAUGUGGAAGCAUAGUGAUAUGUGAAGCUGACCAAUACUAAUUGCUCGUGAGGCUUGACUAUACAACACCCAAGCAGUUG